AAACAUACUAAUAAUAAAAAUAAUAAAUUGAAAACUAAAUGAAUAAAAAAAUAAAAAAUCUUAACCCAGCUCACAAAAUUUUCAAGAUUGAUCAUCACAAAUUUUUUAACUAUUGUAAAGAACUUCAUUUACAUGUAGAAAUCAUGACUUUGUCUACUAUUAAACCCUGCACCCUCUUCAUGUUCAUAUGUCUUGUCCUUCUCCUUAUUUCAACAUGGGAAGUGGAAGCAAAGUUAUUUUGUGGAAGGCCGAGCAGAACAUGGUCAGGGCCUUGUAUUGAUGCAGCAUGUGAUAGAGAGUGCAUUGACUCAGAGUUAAGUAAUGGAUGCAAACAGUAUGCUCAGAGUGUUUGAACUCGAAAACACAUCUUGAACAGAGUUACUUCAUGAAGGUUAUCCCACUUAAGGUCUUGCAUCAGCUGAUACUGUUCAACUCUACCAAAAUAUCUGGUGUUCAGAAUGAGAUGCAAGGAGAUAGCAUGAUUAACAUGUAAAUUUGAGAUAAGGUCUUGUACAUUAACUGUUAGAACUAUUUUGUAUUGCCAAGUUGUGUAUUUGAGUUAAAUAAUAUCAAAUUUUUAGACUCAACUGAACCUUGUUCUUUCUGAUUUUAAAUUAUCCAAUAUAAUGAUAAACAUGUAAAUGUUAGUAAUCGUGCAAGUACUGAAACUGUUGUAAUAUGAA
Vicia villosa (hairy vetch) is the source of this 683-nucleotide long non-coding RNA. RefSeq lists it as uncharacterized. NCBI's taxonomy places the organism in Eukaryota, Viridiplantae, Streptophyta, Magnoliopsida, Fabales, Fabaceae. The transcript has 3 exons. The record is from RefSeq and is a predicted model, not a curated record.